RNAcentral lists this ribosomal RNA (774 nucleotides) under Tubakia dryina. RNAcentral's name for it is "eukaryotic LSU rRNA". It matches the Rfam family "Eukaryotic large subunit ribosomal RNA", at positions 86 to 889 of the family's 3401-position model. Lineage: Eukaryota; Fungi; Ascomycota; Sordariomycetes; Diaporthales; Tubakiaceae. RNAcentral also lists the same sequence under 2 other names. The record is from RNAcentral.
ACGGCGAGUGAAGCGGCAACAGCUCAAAUUUGAAAUCUGGCUUCGGCCCGAGUUGUAAUUUGCAGAGGAUGCUUUUGGUGCGGUGCCUUCCGAGUUCCCUGGAACGGGACGCCACAGAGGGUGAGAGCCCCGUAUGGUCGGACACCAAUCCUGUGUAAAGCUCCUUCGACGAGUCGAGUAGUUUGGGAAUGCUGCUCUAAAUGGGAGGUAAAUCUCUUCUAAAGCUAAAUACCGGCCAGAGACCGAUAGCGCACAAGUAGAGUGAUCGAAAGAUGAAAAGCACCUUGAAAAGGGGGUUAAACAGUACGUGAAAUUGUUGAAAGGGAAGCACUUGUGACCAGACUUGGGCCGGGCGGCUCAUCAGGGGUUCUCCCCUGUGCAUUCCGCCCGGUACAGGCCAGCAUCGGUUCUUACCGGGGGAUAAGAACGGCAGGAACGUGGCUCCCUCUCGGGGGAGUGUUAUAGCCUGCCGUACGAUACCCUGGCGGGGACCGAGGUUCGCGCUUCCGCAAGGAUGCUGGCGUAAUGGUUACUAGUGACCCGUCUUGAAACACGGACCAAGGAGUCGUCCAUUAGAGCGAGCGUUUGGGUGUAAAACCCGCACGCGUAAUGAAAGUGAAAUUAGGUGAGAGCUUCGGCGCAUCAUCGACCGAUCCUGAUGUUCUCGGAUGGAUUUGAGUAAGAGUUUUAACGGACGGACCCGAAAGACAGUGAACUAUGCUUGUAUAGGGUGAAGCCAGAGGAAACUCUGGUGGAGGCUCGCAGCGGUUCUGA